RNAcentral lists this ribosomal RNA (486 nucleotides) under uncultured bacterium. Its description in RNAcentral is "partial 16S ribosomal RNA". It matches the Rfam family "Bacterial small subunit ribosomal RNA", at positions 28 to 507 of the family's 1533-position model. The record is from RNAcentral.
GAUGAACGCUGGCGGCGUGCCUAAUACAUGCAAGUCGAACGCUGGAGAUCUAGCUUGCUAGAUCGAAGGAGUGGCGAACGGGUGAGUAAUACAUAAGCAACCUACCCACGAAGACUGGGAUAAUCUCUGGAAACGGGGACUAAUACCGGAUAGGUAAUCGGAAGGCAUCUUCUGGUUAUUAAAGGUUAAAAACACUGGUGGAUGGGCUUAUGGCGCAUUAGUUAGUUGGUGAGGUAACGGCCCACCAAGACGAUGAUGCGUAGCCGGCCUGAGAGGGUGAACGGCCACAUUGGGACUGAGACACGGCCCAGACUCCUACGGGAGGCAGCAGUAGGGAAUUGUCGGCAAUGGGGGCAACCCUGACCGAGCAACGCCGCGUGAGUGAAGACGGCCUUCGGGUUGUAAAGCUCUGUUGUAAGGGAAGAACGGUAGAUAGAGAAUAUCUAAGUGACGGUACCUUACCAGAAAGCCACGGCUAACUACGUG